RNAcentral lists this ribosomal RNA (315 nucleotides) under uncultured archaeon. Its description in RNAcentral is "bacterial SSU rRNA". It matches the Rfam family "Archaeal small subunit ribosomal RNA", at positions 1029 to 1343 of the family's 1478-position model. The record is from RNAcentral.
UUUAGUCAGGCAACGAGCGAGACCCGCACUCCUAAUUGCCAGCAUCGCGUUCGCGCGGAUGGGUACAUUAGGAGGACUGCCAGUGCCAAACUGGAGGAAGGAACGGGCAACGGUAGGUCAGUAUGCCCCGAAUGAGCUGGGCCACACGCGGGCUACAAUGGCCGGGACAGUGGGACGCUACCCCGAGAGGGGACGCUAAUCUCCUAAACCCGGUCGUAGUUCGGAUUGAGGGCUGAAACUCGCCCUCAUGAAGCUGGAUUCGGUAGUAAUCGCGUCUCAGAAGGGCGCGGUGAAUACGUCCCUGCUCCUUGCACA